Molecule: ribosomal RNA, 859 nt
Filed under: uncultured bacterium
Lineage: Bacteria
Description: bacterial SSU rRNA
Rfam family: Bacterial small subunit ribosomal RNA
Source: RNAcentral
GAACGAAGCUUUCUUUCACCGAAUGCUUGCAUUCACCGAAAGAAAACUUAGUGGCGAACGGGUGAGUAACACGUAGGCAACCUGCCCAAAAGAGGGAGAUAACACUUGGAAACAGGUGCUAAUACCGCAUAACCAUGAACACCGCAUGAUGUUCAUGUAAAAGACGGCUUUUGCUGUCACUUUUGGAUGGGCUGCGGCGUAUUAACUUGUUGGUGGGGUAACGGCCUACCAAGGUGAUGAUACGUAGCCGAACUGAGAGGUUGAUCGGCCACAUUGGGACUGAGACACGGCCCAAACUCCUACGGGAGGCAGCAGUAGGGAAUCUUCCACAAUGGACGAAAGUCUGAUGGAGCAACGCCGCGUGAAUGAAGAAGGCCUUCGGGUCGUAAAAUUCUGUUGUCAGAGAAGAACGUGCGUGAGAGUAACUGUUCACGUAUUGACGGUAUCUGACCAGAAAGCCACGGCUAACUACGUGCCAGCAGCCGCGGUAAUACGUAGGUGGCGAGCGUUGUCCGGAUUUAUUGGGCGUAAAGGGAACGCAGGCGGUCUUUUAAGUCUGAUGUGAAAGCCUUCGGCUUAACCGAAGUAGUGCAUUGGAAACUGGAAGACUUGAGUGCAGAAGAGGAGAGUGGAACUCCAUGUGUAGCGGUGAAAUGCGUAAAUAUAUGGAAGAACACCAGUGGCGAAAGCGGCUCUCUGGUCUGUAACUGACGCUGAGGUUCGAAAGCGUGGGUAGCAAACAGGAUUAGAUACCCUGGUAGUCCACGCCGUAAACGAUGAGUGCUAAGUGUUGGAGGGUUUCCGCCCUUCAGUGCUGCAGCUAACGCAUUAAGCACUCCGCCUGGGGAGUACGGUCGCA